RNAcentral lists this ribosomal RNA (458 nucleotides) under uncultured bacterium. RNAcentral describes it as "partial 16S ribosomal RNA". It matches the Rfam family "Bacterial small subunit ribosomal RNA", at positions 29 to 506 of the family's 1533-position model. The record is from RNAcentral.
AGCGAACGCUGGCGGCAGGCCUAACACAUGCGAGUCGAACGAACCUUUCGGGGUUAGUGGCGGACGGGUGAGUAACACGUGGGAACGUGCCUUUAGGUUCGGAAUAACUCAGGGAAACUUGUGCUAAUACCGAAUGUGCCCUUCGGGGGAAAGAUUUAUCGCCUUUCGAGCGGCCCGCGUCUGAUUAGCUAAUUUGUUAAGGUAAUGGCUCACCAAUGCGACGAUCAAUAGCUGGUCCGAGAGGAGGAUCAGCCACAUUCGAACUGAGACACGGCCCAAACUCGGACGGGAGGCAGCAGCAGGGAAUCUUCCGCAAGGGGCGAUAGCGUGACGGAGCAACGGCGCGUGAGUGAGGAAGGUCUACGCAGCGUAAAACUCUGUGAUUAGGGAAGAACAAAUGUGUAAGUAACUGUGCACAACUGGACGGGACCUAAGCAGAAAGCCACGGCUAACUACGU